Molecule: long non-coding RNA, 1064 nt
Organism: Gadus morhua (Atlantic cod)
Lineage: Eukaryota; Metazoa; Chordata; Actinopteri; Gadiformes; Gadidae
Exons: 3
Source: RefSeq, a predicted model, not a curated record
UCAUUCGAUCCAAGUAAUAUUCACUAAACCAGUUCAUUGGCCUAAUUAGUUGAUAUUUCCAAGUAAAAUGUACUUGAGUGAUAUCAGUGAACCUGGCAACUUUCACGAACAUUCGGAGCAUGACGUCAAAGCCCCUCCCCACAUUUGAACGGUCUUUCGUCCGAGACGUGCUGUACACUUCAGUCCAAGUUCCACAUUUCAACUGGGUUGGCAGACUUUGUUGAAUGAGAUGGGGAAGAACGUGAAUGAACCACGAAGCAUCAUGUCGACGGCAGAAGGGACAUUAUCAUCCGUUGCUUAGUUGAGUAUCUUGGAGAGAGUGGAGAGGAGCUGAUCAAAGACUAUCAGGACGUCAGCCAAGAAGCAGUGAAAGAGGACUGCAGUAAUCACAUGAUGCAGAUCAACGUCAUCCAUCCCAAUGUGGCACAGGAAAACCAAGAUCCUGUGUAUGUGUCAGUCAUCAUCAAGUGUGACAAACGCUUGCCUCCUGCUCAUGGGUGUCAUCUAUGCUGUAAACUUAAGUUACCCACUUAAACUGAAAUAUACGUUUGAAGUAUUUCAGAAGCUGUUUCUUGAGGUUGACGUCAUUACAAUGUCACCAAAGGUCCAGUUUCUCCACAAUAAACUUUUAGCGUGAGUGUUCCAGUGCUAUUUGUGCUUUUGUCCAGCACAAACAAUCUCUUUACUUUUGUCAUUUUUCUGACUGAAAUUUCAAGUUUUGCUUAGUUUUUAAGUUAUUUCUGUCCUGAACAUCCUGAGAAUGUCUGCAAAGGUAGCCAUUGCAGUUUAUGUAUGCAUUCUUUGCUGUUCUGAAAAGUCAACUGUAACACUGUAUUCGUUUGUAUGCUGGAAUAUCAGUCCUAAAGUCAGUUGGUGCUUUGUCAUUCCGCAUUGAAUUUUUCAAAUCCUAAACGGCUUUACUUUUGAGCUUUUGUGUGUGUGUGUGUGUGUGUGUGUACACUGUUUUCAAAUUUGCUAGCAGGAAGUUCUGUGUGGUUAUGUUAUGUAUUUUAAAUACAUCUAUGCCAUUUCAAAUGUGAAAUAAAAGUGUAUUUCAAACAUCC